AACGCAUAUUGCGCCCGAGGCUUCGGCCGAGGGCAUGUCUGCCUGAGCGUCAGCGCGACCAUCACCUCUUUUUUUCAUCUAGAAAAGCAGGUGGAUCUGGCUGUCGGGUGCUUGUCACUCGUCGGCUGAAGCGUAUUGAUCGUUCGCCCUCUGGUUUGAUUCGGAGCUUCAGGCGUUCGGCGUGGUAGGUUUUACUUGUUAAAACACAAUCGCCGUUCUCUUUCCGGAUCCGGCUGAGUGUGCGUUACGGUUGGGGAACCGCUAUCAUUCACUUUAUAUUGCGAACUUGACCUCAGAUCAGGCAAGGCUACCCGCUGAAUUUAA
This 324-nucleotide unclassified non-coding RNA is filed under the name uncultured fungus. RNAcentral's name for it is "partial contains 5.8S rRNA and ITS2". Lineage: Eukaryota; Fungi. The record is from RNAcentral.